Molecule: ribosomal RNA, 450 nt
Filed under: uncultured bacterium
Lineage: Bacteria
Description: partial 16S ribosomal RNA
Rfam family: Bacterial small subunit ribosomal RNA
Source: RNAcentral
CCUACGGGGGGCUGCAGUAAGGAAUAUUGGACAAUGGGCGCAAGCCUGAUCCAGCCAUGCCGCGUGCAGGAUGACGGCCCUAUGGGUUGUAAACUGCUUUUAUACGGGAAAAAACCCCUCUACGUGUAGAGGGCUGAUGGUACCGUAAGAAUAAGGAUCGGCUAACUCCGUGCCAGCAGCCGCGGUAAUACGGAGGAUCCGGGCGUUAUCCGGAUUAAUUGGUUUUAAAGGGUGCGUAUAAGGCAGUGUAGAAAUCCUGCAGCUUAACUGUAGAACUGCCAUUGAUACUGCAAGUCUUGAGUACAGAUGAUGUGGGCGGAAUGUGUAGUGUAGCGGUGAAAUGCUUAGAUAUUACACAGAACACCAAUUGCGAAGGCAGCUCACAAAACUGUAACUGACGCUGAGGCACGAAAGCGUGGGGAGUGAACAGGAUUAGAUACCCUUGUAGUC